RNAcentral lists this ribosomal RNA (92 nucleotides) under Mycobacterium sp. The record is from RNAcentral. RNAcentral also lists the same sequence under 3 other names. Lineage: Bacteria; Bacillati; Actinomycetota; Actinomycetes; Mycobacteriales; Mycobacteriaceae.
AAACGCCCGGACCCAUCCCGAACCCGGAAGCUAAGCCUGCCAGCGCCGAUGAUACUACCCAACCCGGGUGGAAAAGUAGGACACCGCCGAAC